AUUGAACGCUGGCGGCAGGCUUAACACAUGCAAGUCGAGCGGUAGCACAAGAGAGCUUGCUCUCUGGGUGACGAGCGGCGGACGGGUGAGUAAUGUCUGGGAAACUGCCUGAUGGAGGGGGAUAACUACUGGAAACGGUAGCUAAUACCGCAUAACGUCGCAAGACCAAAGAGGGGGACCUUCGGGCCUCUUGCCAUCAGAUGUGCCCAGAUGGGAUUAGCUAGUAGGUGGGGUAAUGGCUCACCUAGGCGACGAUCCCUAGCUGGUCUGAGAGGAUGACCAGCCACACUGGAACUGAGACGCGGUCCAGACUCCUACGGGAGGCAGCAGUGGGGAAUAUUGCACAAUGGGCGCAAGCCUGAUGCAGCCAUGCCGCGUGUGUGAAGAAGGCCUUCGGGUUGUAAAGCACUUUCAGCGAGGAGGAAGGUGGUGAACUUAAUACGUUCAUCAAUUGACGUUACUCGCAGAAGAAGCACCGGCUAACUCCGUG
This 490-nucleotide ribosomal RNA is filed under the name uncultured bacterium. Its description in RNAcentral is "partial 16S ribosomal RNA". It matches the Rfam family "Bacterial small subunit ribosomal RNA", at positions 30 to 507 of the family's 1533-position model. The record is from RNAcentral.